AUGUGGCCCCAACCCUGCCUCCCUCCCGACCCUGUGAUGUUAGAAGAAACUUGUCAGAGCAAAUUGGGAGCAGCCAAGAAAAAGCUAAAAGACUAUCAGCAGAGGAACAGCCCUGGUGUUCUGGCAGGAGCGAAGAUGAAAAAGAAAAAAACUGGCAGUAGCCCUGAGAAAACCACUUCUGGUGGUUGCCACUCACCUGGGGAUAGCCGGAACCAAGAACAAGCAGUAGCCCUGGUCUCAAGCUCCACAACCAUCAAUCAACUCUAUGAAAACACAGAAUCAUUGAAACAAUAGACGAAACAAGUGGAACAUCAGCUAGAAGAAGAAAAGAAAGCAAACAAUGACAUACACAAAGCACAGACGGAGCAGUUAGAGACAAUCAACAUCCUCACGCUGGAAAAGGCAGACUUGAAGACCACCCUUUACCAUACUAAGCGUGCCGCCAGACACUUCGAAGAAGAGUCCAAGGAUCUGGCCGGCCGCCUGCAAUCCUCCUUACAGCGUAUUCAAGAAUUGGAGCGGGCUCUCUCUGCUGUGUGUACACAGCAGUGGGAAGAGGACAGGUCCUCGAGCCGCAGUGAAGCAGUCCUCCAGCGGCAGUUACGGCAGACCAGAAAGGAGCGGGCGCUGCUGAACGCACAUGUGACACAGUGAGGCUUUGUAACAGAGUCACUUAAACAAGUCCAGCUAGAGAGAGAUGAAUAUGCUCAACAUAUAAAAGGAGAGAGGGCCCGGUGGCAGGAGAGGAUGCGGAAAAUGUCGGUGGAGGCUCACACAUUGAAGGAGGAGAAGAAGCGUGACAUACAUCGGAUACAGGAGCUGGAGAGGAGCAUGUCUGAACUCAAAACCCAGAUGGCUGAGCCCCCAUCCCCAGCGCCCCCAGCAGGGCCCUCUGAGGUGGAGCAGCUACAAGAUGAGGCCAAACACCUGCGGAAGGAGGUGGAGAGUUUGGUGGGAAAACUCCAAUCCCAGGUGGAAAACAAUCAGGCCUUGAGUCUCCUGAGCAAGGAGCAAAAGGAGAGGCUUCGGGAGCAGGAGGAGAGGCUCCAGGAGCAGGAGGAGAGGCUGCAAAAGCAGGAGGAGAGGCUGCGAAAGGAGGAGGAGAAGCUGCGAAAGCAGGAGGAGAGGCUGUGGGAUCAGGAGGAGAGGCUAUGAAAGCAGGAGGAGAGACGCACACUCUCCCAGAACCACAAGCUCGACAGGCAGCUGGCCAAGCCACAGUGUGGCUUCAAGGAGCUGAACAACGAGAACAAGAGCGCUCUGCAGUUGGAGCAGCAAGUAAAGGAGCUGCAGGAGAAGCUGAGCAAGGAGCACCUAGAAGCUGCCAGCCAGUGGAACCAACAGCUAGAGACCCAGUUGAGCCUCAUGGCUCUCCCUGGACAAGGAGAUGGAGGAGGUCAUCUGGACAGUGAGGAGGAGACGGUGCCUCGGCCUAUGCCGAGCAUCCCAGAGGACCUGGAGAGCCAGGAAGCCACGAGUGGCUUUAUGGACCUCCGAAAGGAGAAGGUGGACAGGAGGGAGCAGGUGGAGAACCUAAAGCUUGGAUUCAUCCAGCUCUCUGGAGCAACAGACGGCAUGAGAGAGUACAUCACCGUAUAUGGGAGCCAAGGGGCAGUGCCAAACACGCGGCACCAGGAGAUGGAGGAUAUCAUCAGGCUGGACCAGAACGAGGAAGAAAUGAAGGUGAAUCUACUGGAGCUGCAGAAGCUGCUGUUGACACUUGUGGGUGACCAUGAGGGACAUGACAAAUUCCUCCCUGCUGCCCAGAACCCUGCUGAUGAGCCUGCUCCAGGGGCCCCAGCCCCCCAGGAGCUUGGGGCUGCCGAGGAGCAGCCUGAUUUUUAUGAGGUGAGCGUGGUGGACAGUGUGAAGCCUGCACCGGGACAGGCCAGGGAGGGUUCUCCCCAUGACAACCCCACUGCACAGAAGAUCGUGCAGCUGCUUCCUGUAAUGCAGGACACCCAGGAGCACCCAGGCUUGGCCAGCAAACCCUGCAUGACAUUCUUUUACCGGGCAGCAGAGAACAGGGAGAUAAACAUCAUCAUCAUCUAAGAGCUGGUCAAGAAAUUGAAAAAACAACAACCAAAAGUUAUGGGGUUAAUCUCCUACACAAUUCAUUUACUUCAUUUGAAUGUUAGAGCUCCUCAUGUUUAUUUAUGUUUCUAAUUUACAGUUUAAAUUUAUUUGUAGAAAGUUAAGGGAGAGUGGGUCUUUCCCUGAUGUUCACUCUGGC
This is an RNA transcript of Cercocebus atys (sooty mangabey), 2233 nucleotides long. It is a transcript of the gene named putative golgin subfamily A member 6C, with no coding region annotated. NCBI's taxonomy places the organism in Eukaryota, Metazoa, Chordata, Mammalia, Primates, Cercopithecidae. The record is from RefSeq and is a predicted model, not a curated record. The transcript has 18 exons.